GACGCCAGUCUGCAUGGAGCCGACCUUGAAAUACCACCCUUUAAUGUUUGAUGUUCUAACGUGGACCCGUGAUCCGGGUUGCGGACAGUGUCUGGUGGGUAGUUUGACUGGGGCGGUCUCCUCCUAAAGAGUAACGGAGGAGCACGAAGGUUGGCUAAUCCUGGUCGGACAUCAGGAGGUUAGUGCAAUGGCAUAAGCCAGCUUGACUGCGAGCGUGACGGCGCGAGCAGGUGCGAAAGCAGGUCAUAGUGAUCCGGUGGUUCUGAAUGGAAGGGCCAUCGCUCAACGGAUAAAAGGUACUCCGGGGAUAACAGGCUGAUACCGCCCAAGAGUUCAUAUCGACGGCGGUGUUUGGCACCUCGAUGUCGGCUCAUCACAUCCUGGGGCUGAAGUAGGUCCCAAGGGUAUGGCUGUUCGCCAUUUAAAGUGGUACGCGAGCUGGGUUUAGAACGUCGUGAGACAGUUCGGUCCCUAUCUGCCGUGGGCGCUGGAGAACUGAGGGGGGCUGCUCCUAGUACGAGAGGACCGGAGUGGACGCAUCACUGGUGUUCGGGUUGUCAUGCCAAUGGCACUGCCCGGUAGCUAAAUGCGGAAGAGAUAAGUGCUGAAAGCAUCUAAGCACGAAACUUGCCCCGAGAUGAGUUCUCCCUGACUCCUUGAGAGUCCUGAAGGAACGUUGAAGACGACGACGUUGAUAGGCCGGGUGUGUAAGCGCAGCGAUGC
RNAcentral lists this ribosomal RNA (723 nucleotides) under Escherichia coli. RNAcentral's name for it is "partial 23S ribosomal RNA". It matches the Rfam family "Bacterial large subunit ribosomal RNA", at positions 2167 to 2884 of the family's 2925-position model. Lineage: Bacteria; Pseudomonadati; Pseudomonadota; Gammaproteobacteria; Enterobacterales; Enterobacteriaceae. The record is from RNAcentral.